UACGAAGGGGGCUAGCGUUGCUCGGAAUUACUGGGCGUAAAGCGCACGUAGGCGGCUUUGUAAGUUAGAGGUGAAAGCCCGGGGCUCAACUCCGGAAUUGCCUUUAAGACUGCAUCGCUAGAAUUGUGGAGAGGUAAGUGGAAUUCCGAGUGUAGAGGUGAAAUUCGUAGAUAUUCGGAAGAACACCAGUGGCGAAGGCGACUCACUGGACACAUAUUGACGCUGAGGUGCGAAAGCGUGGGGAGCAAACAGG
Molecule: ribosomal RNA, 253 nt
Filed under: uncultured bacterium
Lineage: Bacteria
Description: partial 16S ribosomal RNA
Rfam family: Bacterial small subunit ribosomal RNA
Source: RNAcentral